Long non-coding RNA from Photinus pyralis (common eastern firefly), 2121 nucleotides. RefSeq lists it as uncharacterized. NCBI's taxonomy places the organism in Eukaryota, Metazoa, Arthropoda, Insecta, Coleoptera, Lampyridae. The record is from RefSeq and is a predicted model, not a curated record. The transcript has 2 exons.
CAUUGUGAACCAACCUUCAAUUAUUUGUAGGUCAUGUGCACCUGGUAUUCUACUAAUUUGAUCUAUUCAAUACAUAAGUGAAGGAAAUAAGAAAAUAAAUAACGAGAACAAUUACAAUAAAGGUUCGAAGUGUCUUCCUAGACAUUCUAAGUAAUAACCUAACCGAUUUCGUAAUUAAAUUGGACGGCGGUAUUUUAAAAAAUGUGACAGCUGUCAAUUGUAUCUACUACUCAUUUGAACUACUCAAUAGAUUGAUGUGUUUUUUUUUAAAUCGAACAUAGGGAAAUUACAUUGCAUACAAACUCAUAUGUUCGCAUUAAAAAAAAAUUCACUGUAUAAAAGUAAGUUAGUCACAAUGUCAUACGAAUGGUCGAUUGUUUUUCCAUCACCAUGUCAGUGUUAAAAUCGUAAGAAGUUAGAGACGGAAGAAGAGAGCAGACGGACACCAUUUGUUAAGCGAGACAAUUUUGGCGGUAUUCUUCUUGAAAAUAAUUAGUUUGCUUGGCGCUUUUUGUAAAAUAAGUAGUGCGAAAAGCGAGAAGUUUUAGCUUGUAUGAGUCAUCAUCGAGGGCAGAAGAAAAUUACGCUGUAAUUCAACAUAGAAUAGCUGAACAAGGUUGGCGACCUAGAAUAUUCCUCAAUCCAUUAUAAUGGGAAGCAUUGGUUGCGAAAUAUUAUAGCUGUUUUACAUGAUUUUGGCAUAGCAGUAUAGUGGGUUGCCUACCUCACACGAUUCAGCUGCAGAGACUUGUUACUACUAGACCGCGCAUAGCUCAAGUUGUACGUUGUCAGCAUGGUAGGCCACCCACCGAACUCGUAAAGGCAAGAACUUUCGCGCUCCAAUCUUCACUAUUUGUUUUUGCUGGGAUUAUAUCGCUAAACUGGGCUAGUUUUUCAAUAUUUUUUAAAAUUUCUUUGUUGAAUCGAAAGCGCACACUUUCUAGACACAUAAUGUUCUCAGAAAAGUUUAUAAACGGUAAUAAUGAAAUAAAUGUAAUCUAGUGUACAUUUUCGUAUAAGCAAAGAAUCUUUGGUAUAAGGUAUUUUUUUACCGGAUAGCUACAUCUAGGUAUAGUUAUGUAGAAUGGAAUGGAAACAGCAGAAAAGCACAAGAAUAUUUUGAGAAACAAUCUUUGCGAUAGUGUAACAGAGAUAUGAAUUUGUUUACUCUGCGUCUUUGUUGUACGUCGCGCAGAAAUCUCCACGGAUGUAAUUUGUUUUUGGCACUUCAAGAUCAUAUCAUCAUCAUAUAUAAUAUAUAUCAUAAUCAUGUCCUGUUACAAUUGAAAUCUGUUCUACACUCUAUGAUUUAUGAAUGAAAAACAAUAUCCGAUAAAUGUCCAUGACGACUACGGUGGCGGACAUAUUUCUUUCAACAAAAUUUUCCAUCAUAUGUAUGCAUAAUUAUGACUCCAUCAUGAAUUACGCUCUCGAUGUUGGCUUUGAGCUUCGCAAUUGCACAAUUGUUGGAUUAUCCUUAUAAAUUUAAUCUUUCACGGAACCCCAGAAGAAAUAAUCUAAUAGUGUUAGAUCGCAUGAUCUUGUGGCCAAUUGACAUCACCUCUACGCGAAAUCAAACGUCCAUCAAAUUUGGUUUUUAAUAAAUCGAUUUUCUUCAGCUCGGGACGAGUCAAGCCCGGUUGUUGGAAUUGAAAAAAUUUGGAUCCUCCUGAGCACUAUCCCUCAGCAGCAAUAUUAUCGUGCGAACGACCGGUACGAGUACGUUUUGGUUUUGCUACGUUGAGUACUGACCCAGUAGACUCAAACUUUUUCACAAAAUUCUUAAUUGCAGGCUGUGAUGGCUGAUUAUAACGACCGAAAAUAUCCACGAUUUUACUAAUUGUGGUUUUACAGACCGACCGUUUUCAUUAUGGAUUUUGGAAUUAUUGUUAUGCGUUUUUCUAGUGAAAUUGAAAUCAUUUUCUUAAAUUGUAGACCUUCGACUGUAUUAUCGCCGCCACAAGAGAAGAGCCCUGCGUCAUCAAUGUACGAAUGCAUAAAUCCAAGGUGUUGAUACUUACAUCUCAAAAAUUUGCGCAACCCAAAAAAGGACAGAGAACGAAACAAGUUCUUGGGAUAUAAUAGACGUGCGCUUUUGAAAAGCUAAAUGUAAUGAAAAGA